Coffea eugenioides is the source of this 204-nucleotide long non-coding RNA. RefSeq lists it as uncharacterized. The transcript has 3 exons. The record is from RefSeq and is a predicted model, not a curated record. NCBI's taxonomy places the organism in Eukaryota, Viridiplantae, Streptophyta, Magnoliopsida, Gentianales, Rubiaceae.
GUAGAUUAGAGGCGAUACUUCCCAUUAUGAUGCUGUGGCUAAUUCAGCUGCAUCCGGAGUACUGUCUGCAGGCCUUAAUUCUGGCUCUCAAUCGAGCUGGUGGUAAGUCCGGAAAUAAAGGUGCUGAAGCAGCGCUGACAGCUAUUGAAAUGGCUUCUUUGUUUGAACACCAUCUGAAAUUUUAGGAAGCAGGCGCUGUCGACG